ACGUCAUGUGCAUGGAGAGAAACUGUUGACGAAACUUAUAAGCAGGUUUGGUUUGGCUGAUUUAAAUGAAAAUCAGCAAAUAAUAUUUGACUUCAUUUUAUUGUCGAAUUAACUGACGAUAGAACCACUCAUUUCAGCUCUACAUGGAAGUCAUUGUAACAUUUUAUCACAUUAUAUCAAGUUGCUGUGAUUCUGAAGACCCAAAUAUAGACUUCAAGUGCUCUUUUGACGUAAGCACGAAGAAAAGAUACGGGUGAAAAUCGAAUUGAUUAUUUUAUUUAAAUCCACUUAUUAAUUCUGAAAAUUGGAUAUAGAUCAAGACAUUCAAAUAUUCACUCAUUCAUCAUCUACAAAUUGCUUAUUAAUCAGUGUGAUGUUUUAUAAAAGGGAAUCGUGUCGCAAAAGGGAUCCUCCCUACCACCGAACACGGAAGCCCGAUUCCCUCCCAUUGGAUCCCCGUCACCUCACUCCGGAAGUUUUGAUCUUGUCAUUUGAUUAGGGACUUUCCGUUUUGAAUUUUCCACAGAGUUGUGAUUUUACUUUUUAUGUAGGAAAUUUUUAUUUAAUCUUCGCCGUAUUUUCUUAUAUUUUUAAAUUCACUAUGUUUAAUCAUGAUUAAAGCAUAGUGCCAAUAUUCGUAUGUAUUGGUUUCUUUUUAAGUUUACAACCAUGUAAUUCUAGGUUCUGCUUUAUCUUCCGGUAAAAAAUAGGGGGGGGGAUAGGUUCUUUGUUAAAAUAAAAUAUUAAAAAAAAGGUAGCACAAACAACAGUCCUCAAAAACUUUACACGGA
RNAcentral lists this long non-coding RNA (791 nucleotides) under Mytilus galloprovincialis (Mediterranean mussel). The record is from RNAcentral. Lineage: Eukaryota; Metazoa; Mollusca; Bivalvia; Mytilida; Mytilidae.